Long non-coding RNA from Rosa chinensis, 1278 nucleotides. RefSeq lists it as uncharacterized. NCBI's taxonomy places the organism in Eukaryota, Viridiplantae, Streptophyta, Magnoliopsida, Rosales, Rosaceae. The record is from RefSeq and is a predicted model, not a curated record. The transcript is spliced from 3 exons.
AGAUUCACGUACAAUGUAAAUUUGAACUUGCUAUGCUAUGUCUAAUGUGAAUUUAGUUCAACUUCUAUUGUUCAUAAUACUCCAACUCCUGAAGAGGUAUAUUCGACAUUUGUUCUAUCCUCCUUUUUGUUAUGUCCAAAAAUAUGUGGAGGAGAUGGACUACAGUCAUUUCUGACUACUUUUGGAACUGCUACAGUUCUUAUGGAAGACACUGGUGAAGAAUUUGUUCAUCUUGGGAGGAACAGACCUUCACUGAGGUUGCAAGAAUAGAGGCAUGGAAUCAGAUUUCUUGCAUUUUAAACAUACAGUGUUCUCUAACUAGCUGAACAGAAAAUAAUUAUAAGCUGGAAGUCUUCGAGCAAGCAAGAUUGGUAAAUGAGAAGAAACUUGAUUUGGGACCAAGUUUGUGGUACUCAACAAGAGAAGAUCAGCAAAUACUGAACCCCUUGCAUUCAAAUCCAAACAUCAGUAACUACAGUUGCACCGUGCAUACUGUGCAGUAGACGACAGAUAUCUUCAAAUAAUUUUAGAAGGCUGAGGGAUGACGAGUGCAGUUUAUGUGAAUUUGUGCCUCUUUUGGGGAACAUGGUGUCCAUUGAAUCACUGCAGUUAUUUUUUGUCAUGAAAACCAAAGAGUACUCCAGAAGGAUUAAUGAUAUAUUGUGAAGAUCAAGUAAGGUUUCUCAAGGGGUGUGCACUAAGAGAUGUGCGUAGACAGACCUGAAUCAUCAUCUAUUAGCUGCCUAGCUUGUCGAAGAGGAAGGUUGGGGAGCCCAAUAAGGAGGAAAAUGUAACUCUUGGACCUGCGGUGGAGAGAACUUUUUUGGCGUUGAUACUCAUAUUUAUGCAUCCACUCUUUGAGUGAUCCCUUCAUUUUUGUGAUGGACUUGCAAAUGCUACCAAGCAUGCUUGCAGCACAGUAUGUAUCUACAUGGUGCAAGAUGCUUGCAUAUAGAGCUCAGGGCUGCUAGUCCAGGUGCUGAAUCAGCAAUGCGAGCACUUGAUCUUGCUGACGUGCCCAAUUUCCACCAACUGUAGCCACUGAAAGCUUGGUGGGCACUCUGGGACAUAUAUAGAAGGUUGACAUUUCUCAAAUGUGAGGUUUCAGAUGUUGCUCUCAUUUCUCGUACAUUUGGGUUUGGUUGGAGGUGAAACCAAUUCUGUCUCAAAGUUGCAAAGAUAGGCAAGGCCCGGACUGGUCCAAGAUUUCUCACAUCCCAAACAUCAAAAUUGAUCGCAAAAUUGUACAAAAAGAUGGAGUCUAGAUUUGAUCGCCCA